GAACCGCUACAAAGACGUGCUGCCAUAUGAUCAGACGCGAGUAAUCCUCUCCCUGCUCCGGGAAGAGGGACACAGCGACUACAUUAAUGGCAACUUCAUCCGGGGCGUGGAUGGAAGCCUGGCCUACAUUGCCACGCAAGGACCCUUGCCUCACACCCUGUUAGACUUCUGGAGACUGGUCUGGGAGUUUGGGGUCAAGGUGAUCCUGAUGGCCUGUCGAGAGAUAGAGAAUGGGCGGGUAGGUGUCCUCUGCCCCCAGGUUUCAUGUCCCUGUGCAAGGAGGAGGGAGGAGGAGGAGGGAUCUUGCUAGCUCCUCCUGGACCCCAGGACCCGAGGGUCCAGCUCUUGGAGUGACCUUACUGUGGCUCUGUGGGAAGCCCCAUUGUUCCUCUAAGUUUUUGUUGAUAUGUUAUUCUUCCCCAGUGUUGGCAACCCCUCUCCUGCUGGGCUUCCCAGCCAUUUCACACCUUAGACCAUAAGGCCCUAUUCUGACUGCUUCCCCUGUAGGCUCUGAUCUCUCU
Molecule: small RNA, 521 nt
Filed under: Pongo abelii (Sumatran orangutan)
Lineage: Eukaryota; Metazoa; Chordata; Mammalia; Primates; Hominidae
Description: retained intron
Source: RNAcentral